AUGAGGGGCGCCGGCGGCGAAAAGGAGGCAUUCUUCCACUGCCUGGACCGCGUGCCGUCUGGCAUCCACAUCGACACCGACCACCCCUCCGACGACGACGAUGACGAGGAAGAGGCCCGUUCCUCCUUCUCCUCCGCCAUGGGCGACCACAACUUCCAGAGCUUCCGCCGGCCCCAGUCGGCCAUGCUGCUGGAGGACGAGGACCAGGAGCCGGAGCCGGAGAUGGAGGACGCGUCCAAGUACGACAUGUGGAUGUCCGACGAGCCCAUGUCCAUCCAGGAGCGCCGCCGCCGCCUGCACCAGGGCCUGGGGAUGGUCAGCAGCCGGGACCUCGCGCUGCGCCGCCACAGCACCAAGAAGCGCUUCAUCGACGUGCCGCGGAGCGUGUCCAGGAGGAUGCAGCAGAUGCCACCGUCGUUGCCCGUCGCGCCCGCCGCCAACGCCCCGACUCCGAGCGUUGCCGCCGCGGAGACAGCUCGCGCGCCGCCGUCGGGACUGGCCGCGGCGCGCGAGAUGCUCAAACAGCCGCCGGCCAAACCCAUCACGAGACGCCGGUCGGACGGCUUCCUCGCCGUGCGAGACGGCUCCGGAAGGCCGUCUCUGCGUCGUGCCCGCUCCUUGCUCAGCCCGCACGACCCCUGCAGCAGCUCACUCAUCGAUAAGUUUAAAGCGACACGUGAUAUGCCCGCUGGCCAGGUGACCAUGCCGGCAUCAGCGCCCGCGGGUAAGGGCACCAAAGGCGACGGGGACGACGGCGGCCAGACCAAGAAACAGGACAACAUCAAGGAGGGCGCCGUCAUGGCUGCGCCCAAGGACCAGAACCAGACCGGCGUGCAGCAUGGUCUGGAGGAGAUCGAGAAGUUCAUCGGCAACACCCCCAUCAUGAAGCACCUAAUGCGGCGCGGCCCGAGCCAGCACCACCAGCCCAUGCCGCCGGCUGCAGCCGCGGCACCGCCCAAGGGCGACAAGUCGGCGGCCAAGAAGAAGGGCGGAUGGCUCAAGAACAUCAAGUCAGUCGCCACCACCAUCGGCUUCAUCCAAGACAAUGGUAAGCCGGUCCCCGCCGGCAUGGCCACAGGCGCAGCCCCCAGUACGGGCCCCGCCAGUGCAGCCGUUCCACCUUCCUCCUCCUCGACGUCCACGGAGAAGCUCAAGGUUCAAAACUAUGGCAAGUCGAGCAAGGAGCUCACUGGAUUGUACAUGUCCCAGGAGAUCCAGGCGCACGAGGGAUCCAUAUGGAGCAUCAAGUUCAGCGCGGACGGGCGGCGGCUGGCGAGCGCCGGCGAGGACUGCCUGGUGCGCGUGUGGGAGGUGGUGGAGACCAGCGCGCCGCCGAGCUCCGUGCCGCAGGACGGGUCCCUGCCCCCUCUGCCCGGCGGGCCGGACGGAUCGUCGCAGGCGCCGGGGCUGUCCAAGAAGUCGACGACCAAGGGCGGCAAGACCGCGCUCCCGGAGCACCUCGUGGUCCCCGACAAGGUGUUCGCGCUGGCCGAGCAGGCGCUGUGCGUCCUGGAGGGGCACGAGGACGACGUGCUGGACCUCACCUGGUCCAAGUCCGAUCAGUUGCUGUCGUCGUCCAUGGACAAGACGGUGCGGCUGUGGGACACGGCGAGCAAGGCCUGCCUCAAGAAGUUCUCGCACAGCGACUACGUGACGAGCAUCCAGUUCAACCCGGUGGAUGACCGGUACUUCAUCAGCGGCUCGCUGGACGCCAAGGUGCGCCUGUGGAGCAUCCCCAACCGGCAGGUCGUCGACUGGACCGACGUCAAAGAGAUGGUCACCGCCGCUUCCUAUUCCCCCGACGGCCAGAGCGCUAUCAUCGGCUCGCACCAAGGAAGCUGCCGGUUCUACAAGACAGCAGACUGCAAGAUCAGCCCGGAGGCACAGAUCGACGUCCAGUCCAAGAAGCGCAAGUCGCAGGCCAAGAAGAUCACCGGAUUCCAGUAUGCCCCGGGGAACCCGUCGGAAGUGCUGGUCACCUCCGCCGACUCGCAGAUCCGCGUCUUCGACGGCGUCACCAUGGUCCAGAAGUUCAGAGGAUUCAAGAACACGAGCAGCCAGAUCGCGGCGGCCUACACCUCGGACGGGCGGUACGUGGUGUGCGCGAGCGAGGACUCGCACGUCUACAUCUGGAGGACCACCCGGAGCGCGCCCGCCGCGGCGGCCAUCGGCAUCGGCAUGAAGCCCAAGACGUGGUGCACCAUCCGCUCCUACGAGAACUUCUACUGCAAGGACAUCUCCGCCGCCAUCCCGUGGACCCACUCGCCGUCCCUGCCCGGCAGCCCCAAGUCGCACCAGGGCGCCGUGUCGUGCAACGACGACGUGUGCAGCAUGGCGAGCCACGCCGCCAAGCCGGACGUGAGCAAGAGCGGCGAGCUGAGCAGCCCCGCCGUGCCGUCGCCGCACUCGGGCCCGCUAGACACGCCGUCGUCGCGGCACGCCAGCAAGACCGGAACCAACGCCCCGGACAGCGGCAACGCGUGGGGCUUGGUGGUGGUCACGGCGACCUUGAGCGGCGAGAUAAAGGUGUACCAGAACUUCGGGACGCCCUUCAGGAUCAAAGGCCAGGGAAAUCUGUUUUACUGA
RNAcentral lists this ribosomal RNA (2586 nucleotides) under Triticum aestivum (bread wheat). RNAcentral describes it as "partial small subunit ribosomal RNA". The record is from RNAcentral. Lineage: Eukaryota; Viridiplantae; Streptophyta; Magnoliopsida; Poales; Poaceae.